This 301-nucleotide ribosomal RNA is filed under the name uncultured bacterium. Its description in RNAcentral is "partial 16S ribosomal RNA". It matches the Rfam family "Bacterial small subunit ribosomal RNA", at positions 509 to 809 of the family's 1533-position model. The record is from RNAcentral.
CAGCAGCCGCGGGAAUACGAAGGGUGCAAGCGUUAAUCGGAAUUACUGGGCGUAAAGCGUGCGUAGGCGGUUUGUUAAGUCUGCUGUGAAAUCCCCGGGCUCAACCUGGGAAUGGCAGUGGAUACUGGCAAGCUAGAGUGUGUCAGAGGAUGGUGGAAUUCCCGGUGUAGCGGUGAAAUGCGUAGAGAUCGGGAGGAACAUCAGUGGCGAAGGCGGCCAUCUGGGACAACACUGACGCUGAGGCACGAAAGCGUGGGGAGCAAACAGGAUUAGAUACCCCCGUAGUCCCUGUCUCUUAUAU